RNAcentral lists this ribosomal RNA (2790 nucleotides) under Escherichia sp. KTE31. RNAcentral's name for it is "bacterial LSU rRNA". It matches the Rfam family "Bacterial large subunit ribosomal RNA". Lineage: Bacteria; Pseudomonadati; Pseudomonadota; Gammaproteobacteria; Enterobacterales; Enterobacteriaceae. The record is from RNAcentral.
UUAAGCGACUAAGCGUACACGGUGGAUGCCCUGGCAGUCAGAGGCGAUGAAGGACGUGCUAAUCUGCGAUAAGCGUCGGUAAGGUGAUAUGAACCGUUAUAACCGGCGAUUUCCGAAUGGGGAAACCCAGUGUGUUUCGACACACUAUCAUUAACUGAAUCCAUAGGUUAAUGAGGCGAACCGGGGGAACUGAAACAUCUAAGUACCCCGAGGAAAAGAAAUCAACCGAGAUUCCCCCAGUAGCGGCGAGCGAACGGGGAGCAGCCCAGAGCCUGAAUCAGUGUGUGUGUUAGUGGAAGCGUCUGGAAAGGCGCGCGAUACAGGGUGACAGCCCCGUACACAAAAAUGCACAUGCUGUGAGCUCGAUGAGUAGGGCGGGACACGUGGUAUCCUGUCUGAAUAUGGGGGGACCAUCCUCCAAGGCUAAAUACUCCUGACUGACCGAUAGUGAACCAGUACCGUGAGGGAAAGGCGAAAAGAACCCCGGCGAGGGGAGUGAAAAAGAACCUGAAACCGUGUACGUACAAGCAGUGGGAGCCUCUUUAUGGGGUGACUGCGUACCUUUUGUAUAAUGGGUCAGCGACUUAUAUUCUGUAGCAAGGUUAACCGAAUAGGGGAGCCGAAGGGAAACCGAGUCUUAACUGGGCGUUAAGUUGCAGGGUAUAGACCCGAAACCCGGUGAUCUAGCCAUGGGCAGGUUGAAGGUUGGGUAACACUAACUGGAGGACCGAACCGACUAAUGUUGAAAAAUUAGCGGAUGACUUGUGGCUGGGGGGGAAAGGCCAAUCAAACCGGGAGAUAGCUGGUUCUCCCCGAAAGCUAUUUAGGUAGCGCCUCGUGAAUUCAUCUCCGGGGGUAGAGCACUGUUUCGGCAAGGGGGUCAUCCCGACUUACCAACCCGAUGCAAACUGCGAAUACCGGAGAAUGUUAUCACGGGAGACACACGGCGGGUGCUAACGUCCGUCGUGAAGAGGGAAACAACCCAGACCGCCAGCUAAGGUCCCAAAGUCAUGGUUAAGUGGGAAACGAUGUGGGAAGGCCCAGACAGCCAGGAUGUUGGCUUAGAAGCAGCCAUCAUUUAAAGAAAGCGUAAUAGCUCACUGGUCGAGUCGGCCUGCGCGGAAGAUGUAACGGGGCUAAACCAUGCACCGAAGCUGCGGCAGCGACACUAUGUGUUGUUGGGUAGGGGAGCGUUCUGUAAGCCUGUGAAGGUGUGCUGUGAGGCAUGCUGGAGGUAUCAGAAGUGCGAAUGCUGACAUAAGUAACGAUAAAGCGGGUGAAAAGCCCGCUCGCCGGAAGACCAAGGGUUCCUGUCCAACGUUAAUCGGGGCAGGGUGAGUCGACCCCUAAGGCGAGGCCGAAAGGCGUAGUCGAUGGGAAACAGGUUAAUAUUCCUGUACUUGGUGUUACUGCGAAGGGGGGACGGAGAAGGCUAUGUUGGCCGGGCGACGGUUGUCCCGGUUUAAGCGUGUAGGCUGGUUUUCCAGGCAAAUCCGGAAAAUCAAGGCUGAGGCGUGAUGACGAGGCACUACGGUGCUGAAGCAACAAAUGCCCUGCUUCCAGGAAAAGCCUCUAAGCAUCAGGUAACAUCAAAUCGUACCCCAAACCGACACAGGUGGUCAGGUAGAGAAUACCAAGGCGCUUGAGAGAACUCGGGUGAAGGAACUAGGCAAAAUGGUGCCGUAACUUCGGGAGAAGGCACGCUGAUACGUAGGUGAAGCGACUUGCUCGUGGAGCUGAAAUCAGUCGAAGAUACCAGCUGGCUGCAACUGUUUAUUAAAAACACAGCACUGUGCAAACACGAAAGUGGACGUAUACGGUGUGACGCCUGCCCGGUGCCGGAAGGUUAAUUGAUGGGGUCAGCCGCAAGGCGAAGCUCUUGAUCGAAGCCCCGGUAAACGGCGGCCGUAACUAUAACGGUCCUAAGGUAGCGAAAUUCCUUGUCGGGUAAGUUCCGACCUGCACGAAUGGCGUAAUGAUGGCCAGGCUGUCUCCACCCGAGACUCAGUGAAAUUGAACUCGCUGUGAAGAUGCAGUGUACCCGCGGCAAGACGGAAAGACCCCGUGAACCUUUACUAUAGCUUGACACUGAACAUUGAGCCUUGAUGUGUAGGAUAGGUGGGAGGCUUUGAAGCGUGGACGCCAGUCUGCGUGGAGCCGACCUUGAAAUACCACCCUUUAAUGUUUGAUGUUCUAACGUGGACCCGUGAUCCGGGUUGCGGACAGUGUCUGGUGGGUAGUUUGACUGGGGCGGUCUCCUCCUAAAGAGUAACGGAGGAGCACGAAGGUUGGCUAAUCCUGGUCGGACAUCAGGAGGUUAGUGCAAUGGCAUAAGCCAGCUUGACUGCGAGCGUGACGGCGCGAGCAGGUGCGAAAGCAGGUCAUAGUGAUCCGGUGGUUCUGAAUGGAAGGGCCAUCGCUCAACGGAUAAAAGGUACUCCGGGGAUAACAGGCUGAUACCGCCCAAGAGUUCAUAUCGACGGCGGUGUUUGGCACCUCGAUGUCGGCUCAUCACAUCCUGGGGCUGAAGUAGGUCCCAAGGGUAUGGCUGUUCGCCAUUUAAAGUGGUACGCGAGCUGGGUUUAGAACGUCGUGAGACAGUUCGGUCCCUAUCUGCCGUGGGCGCUGGAGAACUGAGGGGGGCUGCUCCUAGUACGAGAGGACCGGAGUGGACGCAUCACUGGUGUUCGGGUUGUCAUGCCAAUGGCACUGCCCGGUAGCUAAAUGCGGAAGAGAUAAGUGCUGAAAGCAUCUAAGCACGAAACUUGCCCCGAGAUGAGUUCUCCCUGA